Molecule: ribosomal RNA, 486 nt
Filed under: uncultured bacterium
Lineage: Bacteria
Description: partial 16S ribosomal RNA
Rfam family: Bacterial small subunit ribosomal RNA
Source: RNAcentral
AUUGAACGCUGGCGGCAUGCCUUACACAUGCAAGUCGAACGGCAGCACGGGUGCUUGCACCCGGUGGCGAGUGGCGAACGGGUGAGUAAUACAUCGGAACAUGCCCUGUAGUGGGGGGUAGCCCGGCGAAAGCCGGAUUAAUACCGCAGACGAAUUACGGAUGAAAGCGGGGGACCUUCGGGCCUCGCGCUUUAGGGUUGGCCGUAAGCUGAUUAGCUAGUUGGUGGGGUAAAGGCCUACCAAGGCGACGAUCAGUAGCCGGUCUGAGAGGACGACCAGCCACACUGGAACUGAGACACGGCCCAGACUCCUACGGGAGGCAGCAGUGGGGAAUUUUGGACAAUGGGCGAAAGCCUGAUCCAGCAAUGCCGCGUGUGUGAAGAAGGCCUUCGGGUUGUAAAGCACUUUUGUCCGGAAAGAAAUCCUUGGCUCUAAUACAGUCGGGGGAUGACGGUACCGGAAGAAUAAGCACCGGCUAACUACGUG